Long non-coding RNA from Mus musculus (house mouse), 2244 nucleotides. RefSeq annotates it as predicted gene 14198. The transcript has 4 exons. The record is from RefSeq and is a predicted model, not a curated record. Lineage: Eukaryota; Metazoa; Chordata; Mammalia; Rodentia; Muridae.
GUGCUUCUUGACGUUAGACUUCUGGGCAAAGGCACGGCCACACGCAAUGCACUGGAAGGGCUUCUCCCCUGUGUGGCUAUACGAACAAGGCAUGCGGAUGGGCAGAGGGCCUGAGAAGGGCACCUCACUUCCCGGCCCUGUGCUGGAGACACCGGCCCUCAGGGCUACCUUCGGAUAUGCUGCUGAAGAUCAAAGUUCUUGGUGAAGGACUUGUCACAGUAGGAGCACUUGAGUUUCUGAGCUUUUGGCUUCCCUGCAGCUGGAAGGCAAUGGAGGAGAAGGAUGGUCAGGCUGAGGUCCCAGUGGAGGGAAGCUGGGAACCGCUUCUCCCCUAGGGUCAGACAGGCACACACGUUGGAAACAUCUCUAUCUAUGUGUAGGCACUGUAAGAGGGAAAGUCCAAGGCUUGCUCUGAAGGGAACAGACAAAGCUCUCUCAAAGGCUUCCUCUGCCUCACAAUGAAAUCCACCCUCUCUGUCACGGCCUUCAGAACUCCACUUCCUCAGCCUCUGCCAACUUCAGCAUUCCCUCCAUCUUGCGAUGGACUCCUUGCUCCUCGUGAUGCCCGCACACAUGGUCUUCCCUCAGGACUUUGUACCUGUUCAUCCCCCUGCCUGGGAAGCUUGCUCCCAGGUACCAACAUGACUUCUUCCUUCCCUCCAGAAAGAAGGGAAGCUGAGCCAUGACUUCCAAGGCAAAGCAUCAGGGCUCCUGGAUAUUCGCAAAUGAUGAUGCCCACCACCCACAUUGGCUAAGCAGUAGACAGAGGAAGGCAUGAGCCAGAAGGUUCAGGCAGGAGGAAGGAAGAGAAUUCAGACACCAGAGCAAAACUUAAGCUCUCAUCUUCUACCAGAGACCAUCCGACAGUGCCGGACACACCAAGAUCCCCCCUCCUUGACUCCAGGUGUGCUUGAAUCUCUUCACUUUGCUAGAGGGUCUUCUUUACACUCUCCUCCUGCCUGCCCUAAAAGGUAGCUGUUUUGAGUUCUUUCUGUCUGGAUUUUGAGGAGAGCUGCUGCGAAGCCCUGGUUAUGCUUUAAACUUUUAGUGUGUGUGUGUGUGUGUGUGUGUGUGUGUGUGUGUGUUGUGUGUGUGUGUGUGUGUGUGUGUACUUGGGGAGAUCAGAGGGGUAUCAGCUCCUCCUAGAAGCUGGACUUACAGGUAGAAGCAAGUGUCCCAAAACCAUAAAACUAGACCAUUGCAUAGGUAGAAAGCCAGCUUAUUGGGGGACAAACUGCUGCAUCAGAGAGUGGAGAGCCACAGCCUGACCGGAAAGCAAGCGGAUUUUAUGAUACUCAGCAGGGUGGGCGUCUUUGAGCUCAUGCAGGCUGUUUGGGUUAAGUGGGAACUUGAUGGACUUUGUUCCCCAUCAGUUGACCAUCAGAGGCAGAUAGGGUAAGCAGUGGCUUUCCUGCCAAACAAAAGCAUAAGGAAUACUGAAUUCAGAUUUCUGUUUACCCAAUAAGAAUCCCUCUAUAUACCCCAAAUCCAGCCUCCGUUGGGCAUGAGCUAUCAUCUUAGGACACAGUCAGCAGCACUGCCAUUUUUGGGCCUGCUUUGUGACCUAACAACAGGCAGCUGCUGCCUGAUACAGGUGCCGAGAAUCAAACACAGGUCCUUUGCAAAACCAAUAAGCACUCUUAACUACUGAUCUUUUUUCCCUAGCCCCACCAGCUAAAAGUUCUAACAUUACAUUGUUUGUUUGUUUGUUUGUUUGUUUUUGGAGACAGGGUUUCUCUGUAUAGCUCUGGCUGUCCUGGAACUCACUUUGUAGACCAGGCUGGCCUGGAACUCAGAAAUCAGCCUGCCUCUGCCUCCGGAGUGCUGGGAUUAUAGGCGCGCGCCACCACGUCCGGCUCCUAACAUUACAUUCUUAUGGUCACUUACAUAAACCCAUGUUCUUGUGUCUUGAUGCAAGUCUGGUGCAAAUAGAUCUUGAACUCAUAGAAUUCUUUUUUUUAAAGAUUUAUUUCUUUUUAUUUCACGUAUAUGAGUAUUUUGCUUGCACGGAUAUAUGUGUACUGGGUGUGUGCCUAGUACUUUGAGAAGCCAGUAGAGGGUUCAGGAUCUCCUGGAACUGGAGUUAAAAAAUCCAUCAGCUACUGUGUGAGUGUUGUGAACUAGAAAUAGUUUGGUAAAGCUGGGAUAUGACUCAGUUGUCAGUGAGCCUGCGAGCACAAAUAAAGCCCUGGGUGUGGUCCCAGCGCCAUGCACACCAGAUAGAGAAGUGCGUACCUUUCAUCU